AUUUUCCCAUACCGGCCAAAAAUUUCGACCUUUCCCGCGCGCGCCACCGUGGUCCAAAAUUUACCCACACCGGCCCAUUUACGUUUCCAGCCCAUCGAAACCCUAAAAAUCCAUUUACCUUUCCAGGCACAGGCUCGCAGCGUCGGGCCGUCGGCGGCGCUUGUUCUUCUUCUUCCUCCAAAUCCCCACCCUCCGCCGCCGCCGCGCACGGCGCACCUGCAACCUCCUGCUGCGCCCGGUCCCCGACGCGGCUGCGCUCUCCGAGACUCCGACUACUGCCUCCACCAGAUCUUCCCCCCGGCCCCCGCGCGCCCUGGCGGGAGCGGCGGCGGGUACCGCCUACCGCGCGCCGGAGCUCGUGGACGCGCGCCGCCCGAUGUUCAGGUCCGACGUGUACUCUCUCGGGGUGCUGUUCCUGGAGCUGCUGACGUGCAAGUCCCCCGCGCACCACGCGUCCCUGGAGGGCGGCGACGGCGCCGUGCCUUAGAGCAGGGGAAGAAGGUCGAGGUUGCGUAGAGCUCAGGGGAGAGGGAGCCCGUUCUUGCCGUCGAGCUCCGCCGCCGCGCAGGCAAGGCACGAGCUCCGUAGCCGCCGCCCAGCGCGAGCACGCGGAGCGACUCCUGCACGCGCUCGACGGGGAAAUUGAGCGCGGCCCCGGGCCCCCGCGCGGACAGCGCUACCUGGCCGUAGGCCAUGAGCCGUGGACCUCCCACUGUGGGUGCAGUCGGCGGUGCGGGAGGAUUGGACGGCCGAGGUGUUCGGCUCCGCCCCUCCGGCGGUCCGGCCUCCAGGCCGCCGAGGGCUGCGCGCUUGCGCCUCCUCCUACAAGUGCUAGUGAAUUUAAUUUGCAGGACGUAGAGAAAGAUAACCUUCUCUGCUCUAUCUCAGAUAUAUAUGAUGUCUUUAUUUCUUCAUCUAUAUUCAGGAUGCAUGCUCAAGCUUUUACAGUUUGCUGAUUUGAGUGCCAUGGGGUCACAUUGAUUUGAAUUUCUAGUAUGAUGUGUAUGUGUUCCUGCUUAACGAUUACUAAUCGUGGCCUCGGCUCCCUGUCAGUGUUAGGAGCUCUUGGAGAAGAACGUCAAGCGGCCGGACUUGAAGCAAAGCUUCCCUAGAAUGGAUUGCCGUGGCAGUGGCAAGGGCAAAGAGAAGGCCAUACCAGAUAGUGACGAGGUAUGCAGUGCAGCUGGUGGGUCGUCCAAGACAUAUGUAGUUGAUAGAGCAGGUUUGUGCUACCAGGUAUGCUGACAAUAGUAUUCCGAUGCCUUCAAAGGUGCGUUAUCAUUUUCAGAUCCAGAAGUAAUUGACUUUGAGGGAAAUAGUAAUGCAGAUCGGUUCAGGGCUGAUCACAUAUAGGCAACUUUAUGGUGACCGCAAUUGCAUGCCUGCCAAGGCAUUAUGCUGAAAUUAAGCAUACUCUUCGAACUUCGUGUUACAGUUCACUUGCUGUAGCUUGAUCCUUUGAAUGAUGCUGAAAAGGGCAUGGUCUUCUAAGGAGUCGCCUGUUGCUUGCGGUACUCCUAGAAUUGAGAAAACAAACUCAAGUCAGGUCGUCUGGGAACAUUGGAACGGAGAAGUUUUGCAGCGGUGCUGCAGGAGACAAAAGAAGCAGCAUCCCAAGAGCAACAUUUCAAGCAUGAGGAUAGGGAAGCAAAUUUUGAAGCGAAUGAGUUAGCAAAACAGGCAUUUGUGUGUUUUUUUUUAAAAAAACUUUCCAAUUUCGUUAAAUCAAUAGAAUGUCACUCUCGUCCCCAA
Molecule: long non-coding RNA, 1752 nt
Organism: Panicum hallii
Lineage: Eukaryota; Viridiplantae; Streptophyta; Magnoliopsida; Poales; Poaceae
Exons: 2
Source: RefSeq, a predicted model, not a curated record